AGUCGAACGGGACACUGUGAGUAGCAAUACAGCAGUGUCUAGUGGCGAACGGGUGCGUAACACGUGGAUACAUUCCGGGAAGCGGGGGAUAGCCCAGGGAAACUUGGAUUAAUACCGCAUGUGAUCGAGAGAUCAAAGACGGGGACCGCAAGGCCUGUCACUUCCCGAUUGGUCCGCGGCCUAUCAGCUAGUUGGCGGGGUAACAGCCCACCAAGGCUACGACGGGUAGCUGGUCUUAGAGGACGACCAGCCACACUGGAACUGAGACACGGUCCAGACACCUACGGGUGGCAGCAGUCGAGAAUCUUUCACAAUGGGGGCAACCCUGAUGGAGCGACGCCGCGUGGAGGAUAAGGUCUUCGGAUUGUAAACUCCUGUCAUGCGCGAACAAGGUUGCAGGGAUAAUACCUUUGCAAAUUGAUGGUACCGCAAGAGGAAGAGACGGCUAACUCUGUGCCAGCAGCCGCGGUAAUACAGAGGUCUCAAGCGUUGUUCGGAAUCACUGGGCGUAAAGGGUGCGUAGGUGGCGUGGUAAGUCAGAUGUGAAAGCCCGGGGCUCAGCCUCGGAAUUGCAUCCGAUACUACCAUGCUAGAGUACUG
Molecule: ribosomal RNA, 600 nt
Filed under: uncultured bacterium
Lineage: Bacteria
Description: bacterial SSU rRNA
Rfam family: Bacterial small subunit ribosomal RNA
Source: RNAcentral